This 499-nucleotide ribosomal RNA is filed under the name uncultured Glomeromycotina. Its description in RNAcentral is "partial small subunit ribosomal RNA". It matches the Rfam family "Eukaryotic small subunit ribosomal RNA", at positions 591 to 1092 of the family's 1831-position model. The record is from RNAcentral. Lineage: Eukaryota; Fungi; Glomeromycota.
CCAAUAGCGUAUAUUAAAGUUGUUGCAGUUAAAAAGCUCGUAGUUGAAUUUCGGGAUCAAAUUGUUGGUCGUGCUUCGGUACGCACUGGCAUUAUUGGUUCCUACCUUCUGAAGAACCGCGAUGUCAUUAAUUUGGUGUCGUGGGGAAUCAGGACUGUUACUUUGAAAAAAUUAGAGUGUUUAAAGCAGGCGUACGCUUGAAUACAUUAGCAUGGAAUAAUGAAAUAGGACGUUUGAUCCUAUUUUGUUGGUUUCUAGGAUCGACGUAAUGAUUAAUAGGGAUAGUUGGGGGCAUUAGUAUUCAAUUGUCAGAGGUGAAAUUCUUGGAUUUAUUGAAGACUAACUACUGCGAAAGCAUUUGCCAAGGAUGUUUUCAUUAAUCAAGAACGAAAGUUAGGGGAUCGAAGACGAUCAGAUACCGUCGUAGUCUUAACCAUAAACUAUGCCGACUAGGGAUCGGAUGAUGUUAAUUUUUUAAUGACUCAUUCGGCGCCUUACG